RNAcentral lists this unclassified non-coding RNA (1306 nucleotides) under Hevea brasiliensis (rubber tree). Lineage: Eukaryota; Viridiplantae; Streptophyta; Magnoliopsida; Malpighiales; Euphorbiaceae. The record is from RNAcentral.
UGCCUCUGCACCCUUAUCAGCGUUGAAUACGCACGUUUCUGCAUUUUCAGUCUCAGAAGAUACCCAAAAUGGCAAACGAAAUUCGAUUCUUCGAAUUGAACACCGGAGCUAAGAUGCCUUCCGUCGGGCUCGGCACGUGGCAGGCUNAGGCUGACCCUGGUCUUGUCGGUGAUGCCGUAGCCGCCGGCAUCAAGAUUGGUUACCGUCAUAUUGAUUGUGCUCAAGCUUACGACAACGAGAAGGAGAUUGGUUCAGUAUUGAAGAAGCUCUUUGAAGACGGUGUGGUGAAGCGUGACGAUUUAUUUAUUACCUCCAAACUCUGGUCUUCUAAUCAUGAACCAGAAGAUGUUGUACGGGCAUUGGAAGGAACUCUGCAGGACUUGCAGCUUGAUUAUGUUGAUUUGUACCUUAUCCAUUGGCCAGCUAAGAUGAAGAAGGGGUCAGUUGACUUGAAUCCUGAGAACUUUGAUCAACCGGAUAUUCCUAGCACAUGGAAGGCAAUGGAAGCACUCUAUGAUACUGGCAAGGCUCGUGCUAUUGGUGUGAGUAACUUCUCUUCAAAGAAACUGGGGGAAUUGCUAGAGGUGGCACGUGUUCCUCCUGCUGUGAAUCAGGUGGAGUGCCAUCCUUCGUGGCAGCAGUCUAAGCUACGUGCAUUUUGUCAGUUCAAGGGAGUUCACCUCACCGGAUUUGCACCUUUAGGAUCCCCUGGCACCACAUGGCUUAAGAGUGAUGUCCUUAAGAAUCCAAUUCUUAAUGCCAUUGCACAGAAAUUGGGGAAAACUCCUGCCCAAGUUGCUCUUCGCUGGGGUCUGCAAAUGGGCCAUAGCGUACUUCCAAAGAGUACAAAAGAAGAAAGGAUCAAAGAGAACUUUGAUGUCUUCCAAUGGUCGAUUCCAGAUGACUUGUUUGCCAUGUUUUCUGAAAUUGAGCAGGCAAGACUUAUCAAGGGGGCUUUUUUCGUCCAUGAGACAUUUGGGCCGUAUAAGACUGUUGAGGAACUGUGGGAUGGUGAGAUCUAAGGAGUAAGGCUAUGUUGUGGACACAUUCAUAGGCAAGAGCUACAAUAGGCGCGGGGCUUGCGGCUAGAGGGAAUUCAAAUUGUCGACUUCAGGCAGCAUUCGUUAUUUCCAGAUUAUGUUUACUUUUCCCAUUUAAUUGUUAUUUCCUUUUUAGUUGUAAGUAAUUUUCUUGUUGGUUUACGACUUCUAUUAUUAGUAGAAUUCCAAUAAAUUGCUUGUAACCUUCUCUUAUAUGAAGGAGGGCGAUGAAAUAAUAAUUAAAUGGGAAAAGUAAACAUAAUCUG